GACGAACGCUGGCGGUAUGCUUAACACAUGCAAGUCGAACGAAUAUAUUUAGAGCUUGCUCUAGAUAUAUUAGUGGCAAACGGGUGAGUAACGCGUGGGAAUCUACCCAUCAGUACGGAAUAACUUUUGGAAACAAAAGCUAAUACCGUAUAUUCUCUACGGAGGAAAGAUUUAUCGCUGAUGGAUGAGCCCGCGUCAGAUUAGGUAGUUGGUAGGGUAAUGGCCUACCAAGCCGACGAUCUGUAGCUGGUCUGAGAGGAUGAUCAGCCACACUGGGACUGAGACACGGCCCAGACUCCUACGGGAGGCAGCAGUGGGGAAUAUUGGACAAUGGGCGAAAGCCUGAUCCAGCAAUACCGCGUGAACGAUGAAGGCCUUAGGGUUGUAAAGUUCUUUUAGCAGGGAAGAUAAUGACGGUACCUGCAGAAAAAGCCCCGGCUAACUCCGUGCCAGCCGCCGCCGUAA
Molecule: ribosomal RNA, 465 nt
Filed under: uncultured bacterium
Lineage: Bacteria
Description: partial 16S ribosomal RNA
Rfam family: Bacterial small subunit ribosomal RNA
Source: RNAcentral